UGCGUAGGCGGCGCGGAAAGUUGGGUGUGAAAUACCUCGGCUUAACCGAGGAACUGCGCCCAAAACUACCGUGCUUGAGGAAGAUAGAGGUGAGCGGAACUUAGGGUGGAGCGGUGAAAUGCGUUGAUAUCCUAAGGAACACCGGUGGCGAAAGCGGCUCACUGGAUCUUUUCUGACGCUGAGGCACGAAAGCUAGGGGAGCGAAG
Molecule: ribosomal RNA, 206 nt
Filed under: uncultured bacterium
Lineage: Bacteria
Description: partial 16S ribosomal RNA
Rfam family: Bacterial small subunit ribosomal RNA
Source: RNAcentral